ACCAGAUGACGAGUCCCAAAUAGGACGAAAUGCUGUAUAUCCUGGAU
Molecule: non-coding RNA, 47 nt
Filed under: Trichobilharzia regenti
Lineage: Eukaryota; Metazoa; Platyhelminthes; Trematoda; Strigeidida; Schistosomatidae
Source: RNAcentral